RNAcentral lists this ribosomal RNA (253 nucleotides) under uncultured bacterium. Its description in RNAcentral is "partial 16S ribosomal RNA". It matches the Rfam family "Bacterial small subunit ribosomal RNA", at positions 524 to 776 of the family's 1533-position model. The record is from RNAcentral.
UACGAAGGGGGCUAGCGUUGUUCGGAAUUACUGGGCGUAAAGGGCGCGUAGGCGGCUUGUCACGUCUGCUGUGAAAUCCCGGGGCUCAACCCCGGGCGUGCAGUGGAUACGGGCUGGCUAGAGGCAGGCAGGGGAGAACGGAAUUCCCGGUGUAGCGGUGAAAUGCGCAGAUACCGGGAGGAACACCGGUGGCGAAGGCGGUUCUCUGGGCCUGUACUGACGCUGAGGUGCGAAAGCGUGGGGAGCGAACCGG